Molecule: long non-coding RNA, 1264 nt
Organism: Conger conger (European conger)
Lineage: Eukaryota; Metazoa; Chordata; Actinopteri; Anguilliformes; Congridae
Exons: 2
Source: RefSeq, a predicted model, not a curated record
UGGAUGGCAGUUUGAAAAUGACCCUGAAGGAUCCGUUUCACUGUACAGGUCAUAUCGUGGAAGCUGGUCCUGCGCUGACUUCCGUUUCAGCUGGUCUUUCAGGUUUUUAUAAUUGCUGUUUGCCAGACAUUCUUUCGUUUUGGUGUCGUAAUAUUGUAGUUGGAAAGAAAUGGGGAACACGACACUUCUAUACACUUCUAAUACACUUUUUUUUUUCUUUUACAUUACAUGUCGUUUGGCCAAAGUGACUUACAGUUGAUUAGACUAAGCAGGAGACAAUCCUCCCCUGGAGCAAUGCAGAGACGGCUGUACUCUUCAAUUUGUGGAGAAGAAAGCAAGAGACAAAGUAGAAAUGGAAGCAGAGGUGGUUUUGCCAACAUCAGAAGUCAUGCUGAAAAAGGAUGCGAUUACGAUCUGGGCAAAUGGGACAAAUGAUCACAUGAUGGUUCUGACUGAAACCUGGCUUCAGAAAACAGUACUCGAUAACUUAAUAUGUAGGCUGUUGGUGGUUAUAAAAUGUAUCGAACUGAUCACAUGAGUAGAGGAGGGGGUUCCAAAUUAGUAUUAAACCUAACUUAACAGCUUUGCCUAUAACAAAGCAAUAUCAACGUUAUCAGCUGCUAUAGACCUCCAUCAGCCUUAAGAGAAGCCUUUACUGUACACAGAAUUAAACAUUUCAGAAUGUAGCCAUUUAUUUCUGUAAUUUGUAUGAUAAUUGGGGUUAAUAAAUGUUAAAAGCAGUUCUUAUAGGACAACUCUCCAUAUAAAGCCAUUCAUGUUCUCAGACGCUGACCGCCAGAUUUUCAGUUCUGAACACAGACAUAAAAGAGUGCAGAAAAUGCUGGCUUGCAAGGCUAGGCUAGCAAAGGCAAAUCUAAAAAUAUUUCUUGUGUACUCUUGUGUAAAAAAAGAAAAUGACAAUCUUCUUAAUUCACAUUCGUUCUGGAUCACUACGUUUUAACACACAGGCAAGUCCCUCCCUUGGGUUUAUAUACAGAGGGAAAUCAAGAUGCUGGUGGCUUCUCAACUUGUUUUGAGCCUCAGGUUUUUACAGGUGAAAACCAUGGUUCUAGAUGCAGUGCACUGUUUUAGUGGAUUUAAUAGCAUUAAUUUGAGAACAUGAAAUAAAUCAUGUGCCCACAGUUUUUUUUUUAAUUCCCCGCUGUAUAUGUGCUUUCCCUUUCUGUCCUCUAAAAAUGUAUACGCCGACAUUUCAUUGGAUCCAUAUUUUAAAUAAAGGCCAAUGUGACCAUUUUGUACCACA